Molecule: small RNA, 77 nt
Filed under: Salmonella bongori
Lineage: Bacteria; Pseudomonadati; Pseudomonadota; Gammaproteobacteria; Enterobacterales; Enterobacteriaceae
Description: ABC transporter regulator
Rfam family: ABC transporter regulator
About the family: DapZ sRNA, encoded in the 3'-UTR of the conserved dapB gene, as a translational repressor with a GcvB-like seed domain. This is the first example of a widely conserved bacterial gene whose 3'-UTR has dual function.
Source: RNAcentral
AUACCUUCGUGAUGUGGUUAUAGUAAUCAAGAUGAGUUGAUUACAAAGGGCAAUAAUGCUAUUGCCCUUAUAUUUUU